GCCAUCAACUGACUGAGACCUUGGGCUAAAUAAUCAAUUGUGCUGAUAUUACAUCUCCUUAUGGAAUGUUCCUAAAUAUGCCAGGUAGACACCAGCCCAAGUACCCUCCUCCAGAAGUCUGUAAGUAGUGACUACCUUGUCACUACUUUAGGCCCAUUCCACAAAGCCCAUCUCUGGUUUGAGAAACUCAUUUUGAUCUGUAUCUACACCACCCAAAGUUAGGCCUCCUAUAGUGUCCAAAACAUUCCUUUCAGCCUUUUUAUUUCUUACUGUACUGUCUCUUACUGUACUGUCUAUCUGCAGUAAUUCAGGACCCAUAAAAUUUAGAUAACUACAUGUUUUUGCUCUUAGAAUUGUCACUCAGCAUAAUGAGCAUUUAACAUACAAAGGCAAUGUACUGUUUUGUGUUGAUCUAUGUAAAAGAAUACAAUUUUUUACAUAAUUAGUGAAAUUUUAUUUUUUAUUAGGAAACACUAAAUAGUGUAAUAUUUCUUUUGCUUUUUAAAAAAUUCCUGGUAGCAAAUCAAGAUAAAUAAUUGCUUCAUUUUCUUGAGCAAUACUGAAGCAGGAUGAAGUAAGAGGAAUACAUUCAUUUAAACAUGCUUUGCUUUAUAAAUUUUGUCUCUUUUUUGGUCUUUUUUUCUUAUAUUCAAGUUACAAAUGUACAAGUGUCCUUACUAAGAGUGCUCCUUUUGUAUUUUACAUAUACACAGUAUGAUAAUACAUUGGAACACUAGGAAAGUUUUUAAAUAACAGUUCUAAUUUAUCAGAAAAUUGUGUUUUGGGAUUGAGUUCUUUGUCUCAGCCCAGAAUCCCAGGUCCUGGGCCUGGUUUUCUAAUGCUGUUAUCUCAUUUCGAUAUUUUACUUUGGACUCUGGAAUCUCCUACUUAAUAUAUGACCAUGACUUUGAAAGGCAAAAGAGGAAUCAACAAUAAAUAAAACAAACUUAAUCUUCAUCUUUAAAAAAAAGAAAAAAAGAAACCAAAAUGAGAAUCAACACUUUAUAGGCUCACUGGGUUUUGUUUUCUUUUCUGUUAAUUUAAACUCAGUUAUUUUUAAUGGUUAAUACAUACAUGGUGCAAAAUUUAAAAAGCGCAAAUAGGUAUCUAGUGGAAAACCUAAGCCUCCCUCUCUCCUCCGGCACCCAUUACCUCUCCCUGGAGGCAACUGUUUUGAUCCAUUUCUUAAACACACUGCCAGAGAUACUCUAGGCAUGUAAAGCACAAACAUACAUAUAAAAUCUGCGGGCUUUAAAAAAUAUAAGUAGGAUGUCAUAUAUACUGUCAUACACAUUGUUUUUUAUCACUUAAUGUUAUAUCUUGGAUAUUGUAUUACCCUGGGUAUUAAAAAGAACUCCUUUCACAUUUUAA
Molecule: long non-coding RNA, 1371 nt
Filed under: Pongo abelii (Sumatran orangutan)
Lineage: Eukaryota; Metazoa; Chordata; Mammalia; Primates; Hominidae
Description: lncRNA (ENSPPYG00000032612.1)
Source: RNAcentral